RNAcentral lists this transfer RNA (72 nucleotides) under Candidatus Pelagibacterales bacterium. RNAcentral's name for it is "tRNA-Glu". It matches the Rfam family "tRNA". Rfam says of the family: Transfer RNA (tRNA) molecules are approximately 80 nucleotides in length. Their secondary structure includes four short double-helical elements and three loops (D, anti-codon, and T loops). The record is from RNAcentral. Lineage: Bacteria; Pseudomonadati; Pseudomonadota; Alphaproteobacteria; Candidatus Pelagibacterales.
GGUCCCAUCGUCUAUCGGUUAGGACAGCUGGUUUUCAUCCUGCAAAGAGGGGUUCGAUUCCCCUUGGGACCG